GACGAACGCUGGCGGCGUGCCUAAUACAUGCAAGUCGAGCGCAGGAAAUAAACAGAACCCUUCGGGGUGAUGUUUAUGGAAUGAGCGGCGGACGGGUGAGUAACACGUGGGCAACCUGCCUGUAAGAUCGGGAUAACUCGCGGAAACGUGAGCUAAUACCGGAUAACACUUUUCAUCUCAUGGUGAGAAGAUAAAAGACGGUUUCGGCUGUCACUUACAGAUGGGCCCGCGGCGCAUUAGCUAGUUGGUGAGGUAACGGCUCACCAAGGCGACGAUGCGUAGCCGACCUGAGAGGGUGAUCGGCCACACUGGGACUGAGACACGGCCCAGACUCCUACGGGAGGCAGCAGUAGGGAAUCUUCCGCAAUGGACGAAAGUCUGACGGAGCAACGCCGCGUGAGUGAUGAAGGUUUUCGGAUCGUAAAACUCUGUUGUUAGGGAAGAACAAGUUGGGUAGUAACUGACCCAACCUUGACGGUACCUAACCAGAAAGCCACGGCUAAC
Molecule: ribosomal RNA, 504 nt
Filed under: uncultured bacterium
Lineage: Bacteria
Description: bacterial SSU rRNA
Rfam family: Bacterial small subunit ribosomal RNA
Source: RNAcentral